This 517-nucleotide ribosomal RNA is filed under the name uncultured bacterium. Its description in RNAcentral is "bacterial SSU rRNA". It matches the Rfam family "Bacterial small subunit ribosomal RNA", at positions 791 to 1308 of the family's 1533-position model. The record is from RNAcentral.
UAGUCCACGUCGUAAACGAUGUCUACUAGCCGUUGGGGGCUUGACCCUUUAGUGGCGCAGCUAACGCGAUAAGUAGACCGCCUGGGGAGUACGGUCGCAAGAUUAAAACUCAAAUGAAUUGACGGGGGCCCGCACAAGCGGUGGAGCAUGUGGUUUAAUUCGAUGCAACGCGAAAAACCUUACCAGGCCUUGACAUCCAGAGAACUUUCUAGAGAUAGAUUGGUGCCUUCGGGAACUCUGUGACAGGUGUUGCAUGGCUGUCGUCAGCUCGUGUCGUGAGAUGUUGGGUUAAGUCCCGUAACGAGUGCAACCCUUAUCCUUAUUUGCCAGCACAUAAUGGUGGGAACUCUAAGGAGACUGCCGGUGACAAACCGGAGGAAGGAGAGGAUGAUGUCAAGUCAUCAUGGCCCUUACGGCCUGGGCUACACACGUGCUACAAUGGACGGUACAGAGGGCCGCGAAGCCGCGAGGUGGAGCAAAUCCCUAAAAACCGUUCGUAGUCCGGAUCGGAGUCUGC